CCCUUCCUUUCCUCCAGAGCCUGAGGCAGCCGCGGGGGAGGCGGCCGCUCCUACCUCCCCUCACCUACUCUGUCCCCACCCCCACUCCGCUCCCACCUCCCGCCCGCCACGGGCCGGUUACCUGCUCGUCGAAGCGGCUGACCACGGCCUGGACCCAUUCCACCGGCCUGUGCGCGGCCAUGUCCUCCCCGCGGCCGGGGGGCGGCGGAGGGAAGGGUGGGCCGGCGCCCUGGGCCGGGAAGAGGGCGGGGAGCGGAGGCUGAGAGACAAGGUCUGACUCUGUGCAGUGGAGUGCAGUGGCUCAAUCAUAGCUCACUCCAGCCUCAGACUCCUGGGCCGAAGUGAUCCUCCCACCUCAAGCUCCUGAAUAGCUGGGACUACAGCUGGGCAUGGUGGCAUGUGCCUGUGGUUCCAGUUACUUGGGAAGCUGAAGUGGGAGGAUCGCUUGAGCCCAGGAGGUCAAGGCUACAGUGAGCUGUGAUGGUGUCAUUGCAUUCCAGCACUCCAGCCCGGGCAUCAGAGUUAGACCUUG
Molecule: long non-coding RNA, 532 nt
Filed under: Homo sapiens (human)
Lineage: Eukaryota; Metazoa; Chordata; Mammalia; Primates; Hominidae
Description: non-protein coding lnc-OMG-5:3
Source: RNAcentral